CCUACUGGUGGCAGCAGUGAGGAAUAUUGGUCAAUGGACGCGAGUCUGAACCAGCCACGUAGCGUGAGGGAUGACUGCCCUAUGGUUUGUAAACUUCUUUUAUAUGGGAAUAAAAUGUUCCACGUGUGGGAUUUUGUAGUUACCGUAUGAAUAAGGAUCGUCUAACUACGUUCCAGCAGCCGCGGUAAUACGGAGGAUCCGAGCGUUAUCUGGAUUUGUUGGGUUUAAAGGGAGCGUAGGUGGAUUGUUAAGUCAGUUGUGAAAGUUUGCGGCUCAACCGUAAAAUUGCAGUUGAAACUGGCAGUCUUGAGUACAGUAGAGGUGAGCGGAAUUCGAGGUGUAGCGGUGAAAUGCUUAGAUAUCACGAAGAACUCCGAUUGCGAAGGCAGCUCACUGGACUGCAACUGACACUGAGGCUCGAAAGUGUGGGUAUCAAACAGGAUUAGAUACCCUAGUAGUC
This 460-nucleotide ribosomal RNA is filed under the name uncultured bacterium. RNAcentral describes it as "partial 16S ribosomal RNA". It matches the Rfam family "Bacterial small subunit ribosomal RNA", at positions 338 to 795 of the family's 1533-position model. The record is from RNAcentral.